RNAcentral lists this ribosomal RNA (407 nucleotides) under uncultured bacterium. RNAcentral describes it as "bacterial SSU rRNA". It matches the Rfam family "Bacterial small subunit ribosomal RNA", at positions 976 to 1380 of the family's 1533-position model. The record is from RNAcentral.
UGGGCUAGAAUGUCACGCGACAGAGGGUGAAAGCUCUUCUUAUAGCAAUAUACGCGUGAUAAGGUGCUGCAUGGCUGUCGUCAGCUCGUGCCGUGAGGUGUUGGGUUAAGUCCCGCAACGAGCGCAACCCCCAUCACUAGUUGCCAUCAGGUAACGCUGGGAACUCUAGUGAAACUGCCGUCGUAAGACGUGAGGAAGGAGGGGAUGAUGUCAAGUCAUCAUGGCCUUUAUGCCCAGGGCUACACACGUGCUACAAUGGGACGUACAAAGAGCAGCAACACAGCGAUGUGAAGCCAAUCUCAAAAAACGUCUCUCAGUUCAGAUUGGAGUCUGCAACUCGACUCCAUGAAGCUGGAAUCGCUAGUAAUCGUAUAUCAGCAAUGAUACGGUGAAUACGUUCCCGGACC